Molecule: ribosomal RNA, 223 nt
Filed under: uncultured bacterium
Lineage: Bacteria
Description: partial 16S ribosomal RNA
Rfam family: Bacterial small subunit ribosomal RNA
Source: RNAcentral
CGACGUGAGGAACCUGCCUCAAAGAGGGGGACAACAGUUGGAAACGACUGCUAAUACCGCAUAAGCCCACAGCUCGGCAUCGAGCAGAGGGAAAAGGAGUGAUCCGCUUUGAGAUGGCCUCGCGUCCGAUUAGCUAGUUGGUGAGGUAAUGGCCCACCAAGGCGACGAUCGGUAGCCGACCUGAGAGGGUGAUCGGCCACAUUGGAACUGAGAGACGGUCCAG